GACGAACGCUGGCGGCGUGCCUAAUACAUGCAAGCUGAGCGAUGAAGCUUGGUGCUUGCACCAAUUUGAAGAGCAGCGAACGGGUGAGUAACGCGUGGGGAAUCUGCCUUUGAGCGGGGGACAACAUUUGAAAACGAAUGCUAAUACCGCAUAACAACUUUAAACAUAAGUUUUAAGUUUGAAAGAUGCAAUUGCAUCACUCAAAGAUGAUCCCGCGUUGUAUUAGCUAGUUGGUGAGGUAAAGGCUCACCAAGGCGAUGAUACAUAGCCGACCUGAGAGGGUGAUCGGCCACACUGGGACUGAGACACGGCCCAAACUCCUACGGGAGGCAGCAGUAGGGAAUCUUCGGCAAUGGACGAAAGUCUGACCGAGCAACGCCGCGUGAGUGAAGAAGGUUUUCGGAUCGUAAAACUCUGUUGGUAGGGAAGAACGUUGGUGAGAGUGGAAAGCUCAUCAAGUGACGGUACCUACCCAGAAAGGGACGGCUAACUCCGU
This 496-nucleotide ribosomal RNA is filed under the name uncultured bacterium. Its description in RNAcentral is "partial 16S ribosomal RNA". It matches the Rfam family "Bacterial small subunit ribosomal RNA", at positions 28 to 506 of the family's 1533-position model. The record is from RNAcentral.